This 435-nucleotide ribosomal RNA is filed under the name Actinobacillus equuli. Its description in RNAcentral is "bacterial SSU rRNA". It matches the Rfam family "Bacterial small subunit ribosomal RNA", at positions 62 to 486 of the family's 1533-position model. The record is from RNAcentral. Lineage: Bacteria; Pseudomonadati; Pseudomonadota; Gammaproteobacteria; Pasteurellales; Pasteurellaceae.
UCGAACGGUAGCACAAAGGAGCUUGCUCCUUGGGUGACGAGUGGCGGACGGGUGAGUAAUGCUUGGGAAUCUGGCUUAUGGAGGGGGAUAACUACGGGAAACUGUAGCUAAUACCGCGUAAUAUCUUAGGAUUAAAGUGUGGGACCGCAAGGCCACAUGCCAUGAGAUGAGCCCAAGUGGGAUUAGGUAGUUGGUGGGGUAAAGGCCUACCAAGCCGACGAUCUCUAGCUGGUCUGAGAGGAUGACCAGCCACACUGGAACUGAGACACGGUCCAGACUCCUACGGGAGGCAGCAGUGGGGAAUAUUGCACAAUGGGGGGAACCCUGAUGCAGCCAUGCCGCGUGAAUGAAGAAGGCCUUCGGGUUGUAAAGUUCUUUCGGUAGCGAGGAAGGUAUCAAAUUUAAUAGAUUUGGUAAUUGACGUUAACUACAGAA